AAAAAAACAAACCCUAAAUUUCUAUGUCCAACUUUAACUGUCCGUCUUAUAUGAAAAUUUUUUAUAAUUCGUAUUUUCAUUGAUGUUUGAUGAUAAAACAUGAUUAAUAUUUUAUGUGUGACUUGUCUUUUUAAUUUUUUUUUCAUAAUUUUUUUAAAUAAGACGGACGGUCAAAUGUUGAACAUGGAAACUAUGGCUUGUCUUUUU
Molecule: microRNA precursor, 207 nt
Organism: Oryza sativa Japonica Group (Japanese rice)
Lineage: Eukaryota; Viridiplantae; Streptophyta; Magnoliopsida; Poales; Poaceae
Rfam family: MIR812 microRNA precursor family
Source: Rfam